Zonotrichia albicollis (white-throated sparrow) is the source of this 1757-nucleotide non-coding RNA. NCBI's taxonomy places the organism in Eukaryota, Metazoa, Chordata, Aves, Passeriformes, Passerellidae. The record is from RefSeq and is a predicted model, not a curated record.
CCCACAAAAUGAUGAGUCAUGUGGAGCUGGUUGUUUCCUUGAGAAUAGCAAGGAGGAGGUGAAAAUCAUCUUUUGAAUUCAAGAGCCCAGGAGUGCCACGUGUGAAUUUAAUUUUACAGCAGAACCCAAGGCACAAAGUUCCCCCUGGUGCUUGAAGAGGAUCAGGAACUGCUUGGAGGACUCAGGAAUCCCACCCAAACCUGGAGCCAUUCCCCCAACAGGCACUCUGAAAUUGCCAUCAGCAGAAGCUGUUUAAAAAGGAGUUGAAUUUGCAGGAAAGGACUCAGAAGGAGCUGCAGCCUCCCCAGUUUCCUUCUGCAGUGAAAGCUGCCUGAGCUGAGGCUGCUUUGGCCUGCAUUAAUAUUUACAGACCUGGUUUAUGGAUCUGAGGAUUGAUUUAGCACGAGAGUAAUGCAGGGGAGCAGAUGAACCAUGGGAAUGGUGAGCUCUGCUUUGCUGAGAUUCAUAAAUCCAAAAGCCACGCUGAGGUGAAGAGCUUUCAGAGGAGCAGCACCUAAUGGCUGAGAAUCACUGGAUGUCUCAAGUCUUAAACAAGUUGGAAACUCAUCUUUCACAGCUGAAUCUCUGCUGGAGCUCUGAGCAGUUCUGAGGCCGUGGUGUCCCCUUGGAUGAAGGAGGAAACACCAACAGGGAUCAAGAGUAGCUUGAACAUCUCAUCAACCAGAGAAAUCCCAUCUAGAGGUAGAGAGAAGUUCCUGGCUGGCUCCUUUACACAGUGACCACACACCCUGGUCUGGUGCUCAGCCAGCUGGAAACAAGAGGGUACAGAAAGAUAUUUUUUUUAAUUAUGUGCAACUUUCAUUUGACAUCUUGGGCUCUCUAGCAAAAAACAAAAAUGAAAUUAAAAUACCUUCAAAAAAAACAACAUUCUCAAUAACUCCUUGAGAGCACCCAGUGCAAACCCUGCUCAAAGAGGGGGAGACAGAGCCAUUGCUCAGGAUUGUGUCCAUCCAGGUUUGAGCAUCUCCCAGAAUCAUUAAGGAGGUGUUAACACGGCUGAACAGCUGCUACAGCCAGAAAGCAAUUACGGUUUCAGCAGGACAUGGUUUGCUUAACAAGGCCUUCCCAUCUUUCCUGAUGACUGCUGGAACAGAGCGGGGAUUUAGGAGGAGCAGAAGAAACAGAAUUGGUCUCUUUAAAUAAUUACAAACUUCUUCAUCCCGUGUAGUGCCUGCACAAUGUAGAACCUGGUGAUGGAGCAAGGUCUCAGAAGGGAUUUAGGGAAAUGUUGAGUCUGGUGAUGAACACCCAGUGCAAAAUUUCCCCCCAGAUAUCCCAGCUGGAAUUCCAGCAGGAGCUCACCCCAAGCUCUGCCACGUUUGGUGUGGAGGAGCAGAUGCCCAAAGCUGCUCCAAGAGCAGCGCUUGCUGUUGGAUUUGUAACUGAGUGGUUUCUGCUUGGGGAGCUGUGAGUACAUCUCUUCUGUUAUUGGAGAUAACAAAUAUCUGUUAAUAUUGCACUUAAAUUUAGGUCUUUGCAUAUUUAACAACUCUAUUAGGUUAAAUAUGCAAACAAUAGCACUUACUUAUUCUGGAUUUACUUCAUCGCUAAAAUAUUUGUGCUCCAAACCUGGGAUAUUUUACAGGUUCUGAGAUUGACUUUGCAGACAGCUUGUCAGUGAGUGGGGGUUGCUUGUGUGGCCUGGUGAGAUGUUUCUGACAAUCUGUUGCCAGAAUAUCUGUCUAUCAAUAAGUUUAUCAGCAGUCUUCAUUUAUUAAAGAGAAAAUUAACAGCUA